GACGAACGCUGGCGGCGUGCUUAACACAUGCAAGUCGAGCGGGGUCCAUCCAGUAGCAAUACUGGUGAAGACCUAGCGGCGAACGGGUGAGUAACACGUGAGCAACCUGCCCCGAAGUCUGGGAUAACACCGGGAAACCGGUGCUAAUACCGGAUGUCCUCACCGAGUCACCUGGCUUGAUGAGGAAAGAUUUAUCGCUUCGGGAGGGGCUCGCGGCCUAUCAGCUUGUUGGCGGGGUAACGGCCACCAAGGCUUCGACGGGUAGCUGGUCUGAGAGGACGACCAGCCACACUGGGACUGAGACACGGCCCAGACUCCUACGGGAGGCAGCAGUGGGGAAUCUUGCGCAAUGGGCGAAAGCCUGACGCAGCAACGCCGC
This 379-nucleotide ribosomal RNA is filed under the name uncultured bacterium. Its description in RNAcentral is "bacterial SSU rRNA". It matches the Rfam family "Bacterial small subunit ribosomal RNA", at positions 28 to 400 of the family's 1533-position model. The record is from RNAcentral.